ACGCACGCUGGCGGCGUGCUUAACACAUGCAAGUCGAACGGAAAGGCCCUGCUUUUGUGGGGUGCUCGAGUGGCGAACGGGUGAGUAACACGUGAGUAACCUGCCCUUGACUUUGGAAUAACUUCAGGAAACUGGGGCUAAUACCGGAUAGGAGCUCCUGCUGCAUGGUGGGGGUUGGAAAGUUUCGGCGGUUGGGGAUGGACUCGCGGCUUAUCAGCUUGUUGGUGGGGUAGUGGCUUACCAAGGCUUUGACGGGUAGCCGGCCUGAGAGGGUGACCGGCCACAUUGGGACUGAGAUACGGCCCAGACUCCUACGGGAGGCAGCAGUGGGGAAUAUUGCACAAUGGGCGGAAGCCUGAUGCAGCAACGCCGCGUGCGGGAUGACGGCCUUCGGGUUGUAAACCGCUUUCGCCUGUGACGAAGCGUGAGUGACGGUAAUGGGUAAAGAAGCACCGGCUAACUACGU
Molecule: ribosomal RNA, 466 nt
Filed under: uncultured bacterium
Lineage: Bacteria
Description: partial 16S ribosomal RNA
Rfam family: Bacterial small subunit ribosomal RNA
Source: RNAcentral